Long non-coding RNA from Homo sapiens (human), 446 nucleotides. RefSeq lists it as uncharacterized. The transcript has 3 exons. The record is from RefSeq and is a predicted model, not a curated record. NCBI's taxonomy places the organism in Eukaryota, Metazoa, Chordata, Mammalia, Primates, Hominidae.
AGUAGCUGGGACUACAGGUGGGUGCCACCACACCUGUGUAAUUUUUGUAUUUUUUGCAGAGACAGUGCUUCAUUAUGUUUCUCAGGCAGUCAAUAACUCCUGGGCUCAAGGGAUCCAGGCCACCACGGCCUCCCAAAGUGUUGGGAUUACAGGGUCUGGUGAUGAUAAACUCCCUCAGCUUUUGUUUGUCUGGGAAAGCCAUUAUCUCUUCUUUGUUUCUGAAGCACAGUUUGCCAGGUGCCUUAUGAGUUUUUGCAGAUAUACCCACAGACACUUAAAUGAACGAAACAAGGAACAACAAACAGGACACUUGCUACACAUGCCGAGGACCCUCACUUUAGGAAUAUGUAGAAAACAAUGUGGCAUUUUCAAAUGGAUAAAAAGCUGUUCAUAUCUCCCACAAUUGACUGAAUGUUCUAAGCUUAAAUAAACAAUUAUACAAAUAA